Parambassis ranga (Indian glassy fish) is the source of this 442-nucleotide long non-coding RNA. NCBI's taxonomy places the organism in Eukaryota, Metazoa, Chordata, Actinopteri, Ambassidae. The record is from Ensembl.
GUUGCAUGAGAAAAGGUUUCACAGAGCCACAUGGUUGCUUCUGAUACUGGGCAGAGACUGAGCUGCUUCACUGAACACCGGCUCUGAUUCUCAGAUCGCUGCAAGACAAACAACCCAAAAGUCAGUGGGAUCACCAGAGAGGGAGAGAGAAGGAAAAAGGGGAAAAUAAAACGAUGCUGUGAUUUCCCUGGGAGCAGACAUUGCAGAGGUGACUGAGCCACCCAUGGGACUGCUGGGCUUUUGUCAAGUUUCUAGCCAACAUCACAAGGCAACGCCAAGGACUGGAGGGCCUGUUAAAAACCACAAGUCCAUCAUGCAGAGGCCUGCCGUUGUGAUACUCGGAACACACCUCACCAUCACCAUCACCAUCACCAUCAUCAUCAUCAUCAUCAUCAUCACCACCUCAUCGACAUGUCCCUUGUAUGUGUCCUUGCAGCAGUGA